Non-coding RNA from Ciona intestinalis (vase tunicate), 282 nucleotides. The record is from RefSeq and is a predicted model, not a curated record. NCBI's taxonomy places the organism in Eukaryota, Metazoa, Chordata, Ascidiacea, Phlebobranchia, Cionidae.
UUCUACGAAUGCGACCAAAUUCGUCUUAUUCCUUAUUCGUACAAAAGUAUAGCAGACAACUCAGCGGACAUGCUAUCACAUCAGACAUCAGCAUGAUAACGAAAAAGUACGUCAUUGUGGAGACAUUAAUUGGAACAAUAUCAGACGAAGAAAACAACAUACGUUUGAGCAGAUAGGUUUUCCCACCCAACAUUAAACAGUUAAACAAGUGGAGAACGACAGCUGACCCUUUCGUGGACACGAGUAAUCUUAAAAUGAUAAAAAUGAACUUACUUGAGGCAG